This 483-nucleotide ribosomal RNA is filed under the name uncultured bacterium. RNAcentral describes it as "partial 16S ribosomal RNA". It matches the Rfam family "Bacterial small subunit ribosomal RNA", at positions 30 to 507 of the family's 1533-position model. The record is from RNAcentral.
UUGCACGCUGGCGGCAGGCCUAACACAUGCAAGUCGAGCGGAUGAAGGAAGCUUGCUCCUGGAUUCAGCGGCGGACGGGUGAGUAAUGCCUAGGAAUCUGCCUGGUAGUGGGGGAUAACGUCCGGAAACGGGCGCUAAUACCGCAUACGUCCUGAGGGAGAAAGUGGGGGAUCUUCGGACCUCACGCUAUCAGAUGAGCCUAGGUCGGAUUAGCUAGUUGGUGGGGUAAAGGCCUACCAAGGCGACGAUCCGUAACUGGUCUGAGAGGAUGAUCAGUCACACUGGAACUGAGACACGGUCCAGACUCCUACGGGAGGCAGCAGUGGGGAAUAUUGGACAAUGGGCGAAAGCCUGAUCCAGCCAUGCCGCGUGUGUGAAGAAGGUCUUCGGAUUGUAAAGCACUUUAAGUUGGGAGGAAGGGCAGUAAGUUAAUACCUUGCUGUUUUGACGUUACCAACAGAAUAAGCACCGGCUAACUUCGUG